This 253-nucleotide ribosomal RNA is filed under the name uncultured bacterium. RNAcentral describes it as "partial 16S ribosomal RNA". It matches the Rfam family "Bacterial small subunit ribosomal RNA", at positions 524 to 776 of the family's 1533-position model. The record is from RNAcentral.
UACGGAGGGUGCGAGCGUUGUCCGGAAUCACUGGGCGUAAAGGGCGCGUAGGUGGCGCGGGCAGUCAACGGUGAAAGUUCGGGGCUCAACCCUGAAUCGGCCGUCGAUACUCCCGUGCUUGAGCACUGUAGAGGCAGAUGGAAUUCCGGGUGUAGCGGUGGAAUGCGUAGAGAUCCGGAAGAACACCGGUGGCGAAGGCGGUGAGCUGGGCAGUUGCUGACACUGAGGCGCGACAGCGUGGGGAGCAAACAGG